UACAGAGGUCCCAAGCGUUGUUCGGAUUCACUGGGCGUAAAGGGUGCGUAGGUGGUUAGGUAAGUCCAAUGUGAAAUCUCCGAGCUUAACUCGGAAACUGCAUCGGAUACUAUCUGACUAGAGGGUUGGAGGGGGGACUGGAAUACUUGGUGUAGCAGUGAAAUGCGUAGAUAUCAAGUGGAACACCAGUGGCGAAGGCGAGUCCCUGGACAACUCCUGACACUGAGGCACGAAAGCUAGGGGAGCAAACAGG
RNAcentral lists this ribosomal RNA (253 nucleotides) under uncultured bacterium. RNAcentral describes it as "partial 16S ribosomal RNA". It matches the Rfam family "Bacterial small subunit ribosomal RNA", at positions 524 to 776 of the family's 1533-position model. The record is from RNAcentral.